AUGCUUGGCUUCUUCCACAUCUGGCCGGAACCCUGCGUCGAGUUCAUCCCCACGACGGAUUUCGACGUGCGCGAUCUCGAACCCCAGCACCACUAUUCCAUGGAAGAUUGUCGCCACGGCUGCGUACUCCUUCGGUACAUCGAUGAGGAUGAGAAUAUCCCAUUGCUGGUCGUCUGGGACCCCAUGACGGGCAGCGAAACAUUGCUUGGCAGCCUCGAGAAGUUGGGAACGGGAAGCUGGUCUGCCUUGGUGCUCUGUGCUGCGGACAACUGCCGCCACGGUGACUCUGACUGCCAAUCGAGUCCAUUCCGCGUCGUUUUCGUCUUCCUUCACCACGAAGAGGAGGUCACUACGGCGUGCGUGUACUCAUCGGAGACGGCUAGUUGGAGCUCUCUGGCCAUCACUGACCUUGGUAUGUUUGAGGAGGAAAUCGAUUGCUGCACGCCUAGUGUACUCGCAGGAGACACGCUCUAUUUCCUGCUGUUUCGGGACCAGGCUAUUGAAGGUUGCAGUAUUCUCAAGUACAACUUGGGAACCUCUUGUCUGUCAGAGAUUCAUCUGUCGGAGGAGAUGCAAGAUGCCAUCAACAGUCCUAUCCUCAUCGCAUCGGACGACGGUCGGCUAGGGCUCGCAGACCUGUUGAAUUUCAACCUCUCCAUCUAG
This 663-nucleotide ribosomal RNA is filed under the name Triticum aestivum (bread wheat). RNAcentral's name for it is "partial small subunit ribosomal RNA". The record is from RNAcentral. Lineage: Eukaryota; Viridiplantae; Streptophyta; Magnoliopsida; Poales; Poaceae.